RNAcentral lists this long non-coding RNA (1535 nucleotides) under Ananas comosus (pineapple). RNAcentral's name for it is "long non-coding RNA (ACOM_LNC012980)". The record is from RNAcentral. Lineage: Eukaryota; Viridiplantae; Streptophyta; Magnoliopsida; Poales; Bromeliaceae.
UUUUUUUGGGGGGCAUAAUAGCCUAUAUACCCCUCAAAAUUUCAGAAAUAUCUAAUUUACCUCUUUUUUUUCUUUCCAAUAUACUCCUUAUAUGUUCCUCCGUUAUUCCAAAAUAUUCCUACAGUUAUCACCCGUUAAGUUAACUUGGGUUAAACGUGAGUUAAAUAUCUACCAUAGUUUAAAAAAAUUAAAAUAUCACUUUUGCCCUUAAUUUAAGGGCAAAUAAGAAAUAUUGGUGAUGGUAAAAAAGUAUAUUUGAAAAGACUAAAAAGUAAAAUACUUUUUGUGUCCCUAACUUAAGUGCAAAUAAAAAAAGUAGGUGCCAGUAGAAGAGUAUAUUUAAAAGGGCAAAAUUAUAAUUUCGUAAAGAUAACAGAGUUUAUUAAUAGAUUUUAACUCUAGAAGUAUAUUUGAAAUAUGUGGGAACGUAAAAAAAGUAUUUUCAAUAUUAGUUUUCUAAGAGGGGUAAAUGAGAAAGUCGGAAACUUUUCCAGGGAUAUAUGAACAAUUGCCUUUUUUUUUUUUGUUUGAUUCUAUAUUUUUAUGUAGGAGCAAUUAUUUAUAUACCCUUGAGAAGUUACAGGCUUUCUUACUUACUCCCUUUGGAAAGUUAAUAUAAAAAAAGGGGCAAUUGCUUAUUUACUUCUGAAAAAUUCCCGACUUUCCGAUUUAUCCCUCUUAGAAGGCUAAUAUUGAAAAUACUUUUUCUACGUUCCAACCUAUUUCUAAUAUACCCCUAGAGUUAAAAUCUGUUAAUUAACUCUAUUAUCUCUGUAAAAUUACUAUUUUGUUCUUUCAAAUAUAUCCUUCCAUCAUCACUGUCUUUCUUAUUUGCCCUUUUAGUAUUUUGACUUUUAGUAUUUUCCAAUAUACCCCUCUACCGUCACCAACCUUUCUUAUUUGCCUCUAAGUUAAGGACAAAUUUGGCAAUUUAAUUUUUUUUAACUGUGAUGGAUAUUUAACUCAAGUUUAAUCCAAAUUAACUUAACACGAGAUAACUGCGGGGGUAUUUUGCAAUAACGGUGAAACAUACGAGGGGUAUUUUAAAAAGAAAAAAAAGUAGGAAUAAAUCGGAUAUUUUCAAACGUACGAUGAGUAUAUGGGCAAUUAUUUCUUAAAAAAAACCCUUUUUAAAUUCUUUCAAAUAUACCCACUAAAUUAAAUUUUGUUAGUAAACUGUUAGGAACAGUCGUUCUUUCUGUGAAACUACUAUUUUAUCGUUUCAAAUAUAUAAUUUUCUAAUAUCACCAAUUUCUUCAUUUGUUCUUAAGUUAAGGGCAAAAUAAAUAUUUUAACUUUUUGCUGUUUCAAAUAUAUUAUUCUACCGUUGCUAAUUUUUCUUAUUUGUUCUUAAGUUAGGGGCAAAAUAAGUAUUUCGACUUCUUUUUAACUUCGGUAGAAAUUUAAUCUGAAUUUAAUCCUAGAUGAUUUAACGAGUACUAACAACAUAGUUAUUUUUGAAUAACGAAAAAAAUAUAUAAGGAGUAUAUUCGAAAGAAAAAAAAUAAGAAUAUAAAAAGUAUUUCAAAAAUUUU